RNAcentral lists this non-coding RNA (30 nucleotides) under Homo sapiens (human). Lineage: Eukaryota; Metazoa; Chordata; Mammalia; Primates; Hominidae. The record is from RNAcentral.
UUAUUACUCACUGGGCCCUCCUGCAGCUCC